Molecule: microRNA precursor, 85 nt
Filed under: Picea abies (Norway spruce)
Lineage: Eukaryota; Viridiplantae; Streptophyta; Pinopsida; Pinales; Pinaceae
Description: miR166d stem-loop (pab-MIR166d)
Gene: pab-MIR166d
Source: miRBase by way of RNAcentral
UGUUGGGACGGAUGCAGCCUGGCUCGAUGCUUAAACAGUGUAUAUAGUUUUGUUUGAGUGCCGGACCAGGCUUCAUCCCCUUCAA